Molecule: ribosomal RNA, 253 nt
Filed under: uncultured bacterium
Lineage: Bacteria
Description: partial 16S ribosomal RNA
Rfam family: Bacterial small subunit ribosomal RNA
Source: RNAcentral
UACGGAGGGUGCAAGCGUUAUCCGGAUUCACUGGGUUUAAAGGGUGCGUAGGUGGGCUGGUAAGUCAGCGGUGAAAUCUCCGAGCUUAACUCGGAAACUGCCAUUGAUACUAUCAGUCUUGAAUACCGUGGAGGUCAGUAGAAUAUGUCAUGUAGCGGUGAAAUGCUUAGAUAUGACAUAGAAUACCAAUUGCGAAGGCAGCUGGCUACACGAAUAUUGACACUCAGGCACGAAAGCGUGGGGAUCAAACAGG